Molecule: ribosomal RNA, 435 nt
Filed under: uncultured bacterium
Lineage: Bacteria
Description: partial 16S ribosomal RNA
Rfam family: Bacterial small subunit ribosomal RNA
Source: RNAcentral
AGCGAACGCUGGCGGCAGGCUUAACACAUGCAAGUCGAGCGGGCAUCUUCGGAUGUCAGCGGCAGACGGGUGAGUAACACGUGGGAACGUACCCUUCGGUUCGGAACAACUCUGGGAAACUGGAGCUAAUACCGGAUACGCCCUUAUGGGGAAAGGUUUACUGCCGAAGGAUCGGCCCGCGUCUGAUUAGCUAGUUGGUGGGGUAACGGCCUACCAAGGCGACGAUCAGUAGCUGGUCUGAGAGGAUGAUCAGCCACACUGGGACUGAGACACGGCCCAGACUCCUACGGGAGGCAGCAGUGGGGAAUAUUGGACAAUGGGCGCAAGCCUGACCCAGCCAUGCCGCGUGAGUGAUGAAGGCCUUAGGGUUGUAAAGCUCUUUUGUCCGGGACGAUAAUGACGGUACCGGAAGAAUAAGCCCCGGCUAACUUCGUG